GACGAACGCUGGCGGCGUGCCUAACACAUGCAAGUCGAGCGGAGUCGAUCGACGGAAGCCUUCGGGCGGAAGAUGGUUGACUUAGCGGCGGAUGGGUGAGUAACGCGUGGGCAACCUGCCUCGAAGACCGGGAUAACAGCCCGAAAGGGCUGCUAAUACCGGAUGUGGUCAAGGAUCCGCAUGGAUUUUUGAUUAAAGGGGAAACCCGUUUCGAGAUGGGCCCGCGUCCUAUCAGCUAGUUGGUGAGGUAAAAGCUCACCAAGGCGACGACGGGUAGCCGGCCUGAGAGGGUGACCGGCCACACUGGAACUGAGACACGGUCCAGACUCCUACGGGGGGCAGCAGUGGGGAAUCUUCCACAAUGGGCGAAAGCCUGAUGGAGCGACGCCGCGUGAGCGAAGAAGGCCUUCGGGUUGUAAAGCUCUAGUCUGGAGGGACGAAGGAAGUGACGGUACCUCCGGAGGAAGCCACGGCUAACUACGUGCCAGCAGCCGCGGUAAAACCAGACGCGUA
This 513-nucleotide ribosomal RNA is filed under the name uncultured bacterium. RNAcentral's name for it is "bacterial SSU rRNA". It matches the Rfam family "Bacterial small subunit ribosomal RNA", at positions 28 to 537 of the family's 1533-position model. The record is from RNAcentral.